Molecule: transfer RNA, 77 nt
Filed under: Bacteroidaceae bacterium
Lineage: Bacteria; Pseudomonadati; Bacteroidota; Bacteroidia; Bacteroidales; Bacteroidaceae
Description: tRNA-Arg
Rfam family: tRNA
About the family: Transfer RNA (tRNA) molecules are approximately 80 nucleotides in length. Their secondary structure includes four short double-helical elements and three loops (D, anti-codon, and T loops).
Source: RNAcentral
GGUUCCGUAGCUUAACUGAAUAGAGCAUCUGACUACGGAUCAGAAGGUUCCGAGUUUGAAUCUCGGCGGAAUCACCA